Molecule: ribosomal RNA, 932 nt
Filed under: uncultured bacterium
Lineage: Bacteria
Description: bacterial SSU rRNA
Rfam family: Bacterial small subunit ribosomal RNA
Source: RNAcentral
CAAGUUCGAGCGGAUGAAGUGAGCUUGCUCAUGGAUUCAGCGGCGGACGGGUGAGUAAUGCCUAGGAAUCUGCCUGGUAGUGGGGGACAACGUUUCGAAAGGAACGCUAAUACCGCAUACGUCCUACGGGAGAAAGCAGGGGACCUUCGGGCCUUGCGCUAUCAGAUGAGCCUAGGUCGGAUUAGCUAGUUGGUGAGGUAAUGGCUCACCUAGGCUACGAUCCGUAACUGGUCUGAGAGGAUGAUCAGUCACACUGGAACUGAGACACGGUCCAGACUCCUACGGGAGGCAGCAGUGGGGAAUAUUGGACAAUGGGCGAAAGCCUGAUCCAGCCAUGCCGCGUGUGUGAAGAAGGUCUUCGGAAUGUAAAGCACUUUAAGUUGGGAGGAAGGGUUGUAGAUUAAUACUCUGCAAUUUUGACGUUACCGACAGAAUAAGCACCGGCUAACUCUGUGCCAGCAGCCGCGGUAAUACAGAGGGUGCAAGCGUUAAUCGGAAUUACUGGGCGUAAAGCGUGCGUAGGUGGUUUGUUAAGUCAGAUGUGAAAGCCCUGGGCUCAACCUGGGAACUGCAUUUGAUACUGGCAGGCUAGAGUGCGGUAGAGGGUGGUGGAAUUCCCGGUGUAGCGGUGAAAUGCGUAGAGAUCGGGAGGAACAUUCGUGGCGAAGGCGGCCACCUGGACCAGCACUGACACUGAGGCACGAAAGCGUGGGGAGCAAACAGGAUUAGAUACCCUGGUAGUCCACGCCCUAAACGAUGCGAACUGGACGUUGGUCUCAACUUGGAGAUCAGUGUCGAAGCUAACGCGUUAAGUUCGCCGCCCUUGGGGAGUACGGUCGCAAGACUGAAACUCCAAAAGGGAAUUGACGGGGGCCCGCACAAGCGGUGGAGUAUGUGGCUUAAUUUCGAUGCAACGCGAAGAACCUUACCUG